RNAcentral lists this ribosomal RNA (739 nucleotides) under uncultured bacterium. RNAcentral describes it as "bacterial SSU rRNA". It matches the Rfam family "Bacterial small subunit ribosomal RNA", at positions 8 to 796 of the family's 1533-position model. The record is from RNAcentral.
AGAGUUUGAUCCUGGCUCAGAACGAACGCUGGCGGCAGCCUAAUACAUGCAAGUCGAGCGCCCAGUAAUGGGAGCGGCGGACGGGUGCGUAACACGUGGGAACGUACCCUUUGGUUCGGAAUAACUCAGGGAAACUUGAGCUAAUACCGAAUAAGCCCGUGAGGGGAAAGAUUUAUCGCCAAAGGAUCGGCCCGCGUUCGAUUAGCUAGUUGGUGGGGUAAUGGCUCACCAAGGCAACGAUCGAUAGCUGGUUUGAGAGAACGACCAGCCACACUGGGACUGAGACACGGCCCAGACUCCUACGGGAGGCAGCAGUAGGGAAUCUUGGACAAUGGGGGAAACCCUGAUCCAGCCAUGCCGCGUGAGUGAUGAAGGCCUUCGGGUUGUAAAACUCUUUCGCGCACGACGAUAAUGACGGUAGUGCGAGAAGAAGCUCCGGCUAACUUCGUGCCAGCAGCCGCGGUAAUACGAAGGGGGCUAGCGUUGUUCGGAAUUACUGGGCGUAAAGCGCGCGCAGGCGGCUUUUCAAGUCAGGGGUGAAAGCCCGGAGCUCAACUCCGGAACUGCCUCUGAGACUGUAAAGCUUGAGUACGGGAGAGGUGAGUGGAAUUCCGAGUGUAGAGGUGAAAUUCGUAGAUAUUCGCAAGAACACCAGUGGCGAAGGCGGCUCACUGGCCCGGAACUGACGCUGAGACGCGAAAGCGUGGGGAGCAAACAGGAUUAGAUACCCUAGUAGUCC